This is a non-coding RNA of Bombyx mori (domestic silkworm), 75 nucleotides long. The record is from Rfam. Lineage: Eukaryota; Metazoa; Arthropoda; Insecta; Lepidoptera; Bombycidae.
UGAACUCAAAAUUUGUAUGGAGUUAGAACGUUUUUCGCUAGAGGCGCUGUUGCAACUGCAUACAAAUUUGAGUUA